AUGAGUUCUAAUAUGCAGCGCCAAGCAGUUCCGCUUUCUCGGUCCGAGAAAUGCAUUGUUGGAACUGGAUUGGAGCGCCAAACACCUCUAGAUUCGAGGGUUUCCAUUAUAGCCGAACGCGAGGGAAAGAUCAUUUCUACUGAUAGUCAUAAGAUACUUUUAUCAAGUAGUGGGAAGACUAUAAGUAUUCCUUUAGUUAACCACCGUCGCUCU
RNAcentral lists this ribosomal RNA (213 nucleotides) under Triticum aestivum (bread wheat). Its description in RNAcentral is "partial small subunit ribosomal RNA". The record is from RNAcentral. Lineage: Eukaryota; Viridiplantae; Streptophyta; Magnoliopsida; Poales; Poaceae.